RNAcentral lists this ribosomal RNA (468 nucleotides) under uncultured bacterium. RNAcentral describes it as "partial 16S ribosomal RNA". It matches the Rfam family "Bacterial small subunit ribosomal RNA", at positions 28 to 507 of the family's 1533-position model. The record is from RNAcentral.
GACGAACGCUGGCGGCGUGCUUAACACAUGCAAGUCGAACGGAAGGGCCCUGCUUUUGUGGGGUGCUCGAGUGGCGAACGGGUGAGUAACACGUGAGUAACCUGCCCUUGACUUUGGGAUAACUUCAGGGAACUGGGGCUAAUACCGGAUAGGAGCUCCUGCUGCAUGGUGGGGGUUGGAAAGUUUCGGCGGUUGGGGAUGGACUCGCGGCUUAUCAGCUUGUUGGUGGGGUAGUGGCUUACCAAGGCUUUGACGGGUAGCCGGCCUGAGAGGGUGACCGGCCACAUUGGGACUGAGAUACGGCCCAGACUCCUACGGGAGGCAGCAGUGGGGAAUAUUGCACAAUGGGCGGAAGCCUGAUGCAGCAACGCCGCGUGCGGGAUGACGGCCUUCGGGUUGUAAACCGCUUUCGCCUGUGACGAAGCGUGAGUGACGGUAAUGGGUAAAGAAGCACCGGCUAACUACGUG